AAUAUGAGUGCAAGCAGUUUAUUUGGGCCACUCCAGAGGUGUUAAAGCUCCCUCACUUCCAGCCUGCCUCGUGGGAAGGUCUUAGGCUAAGUCUGUAGGUGCCUGCAGUUAAGAAGCCAGCGGUCUGCAUAUGAUUGCUCAGAGGUGGUGGCUGGGUACCAACAGCAUUCACUACAGGCCUGCCUUGAAUACCACCUAACUCAGUGCUCCGCAUAUCACAGGGGCUGGAAACCUAACAAUUUCACUUCCUAGACAACUUGCUAAAAGUCACCUAAAGACAGUCUGGUUACUGCCAAAGAUAUGCUUUCAAAUAAGAUUUGGAUAAAGAAGGGAGGUAGAUGCCUUUUUUCAGCAGUGGAGUGAUGUCUAGACCAGUAGACAUAUGCAUCUAAGUGAACUCAUCACCAGCAACAAUUUCCUGAAACUUCCUGACCUCCAGAUUGCAGCUUCA
RNAcentral lists this non-coding RNA (451 nucleotides) under Pongo abelii (Sumatran orangutan). Lineage: Eukaryota; Metazoa; Chordata; Mammalia; Primates; Hominidae. The record is from RNAcentral.